GUGGGGAAUAUUGCACAAUGGGGGAAACCCUGAUGCAGCGACGCCGCGUGAGUGAAGAAGUAUUUCGGUACGUAAAGCUCUAUCAGCAAGGAAGAAAAUGACGGUACUUGACUAAGAAGCCCCGGCUAACUACGUGCCAGCAGCCGCGGUAAUACGUAGGGGGCAAGCGUUAUCCGGAUUUACUGGGUGUAAAGGGAGCGUAGACGGUAUGGUAAGUCAGAUGUGAAAGCCCGGGGCUCAACCCCGGGACUGCAUUUGAAACUAUCAGACUAGAGUGCAGGAGAGGUAAGUGGAAUUCCUAGUGUAGCGGUGAAAUGCGUAGAUAUUAGGAGGAACACCAGUGGCGAAGGCGGCUUUCUGGACGGUGUCUGACACUGAGGCGCGAAAGCCAGGGGAGCGAACGGGAUUAGAAACCCUUGUAGUCC
RNAcentral lists this ribosomal RNA (425 nucleotides) under uncultured bacterium. RNAcentral describes it as "partial 16S ribosomal RNA". It matches the Rfam family "Bacterial small subunit ribosomal RNA", at positions 354 to 796 of the family's 1533-position model. The record is from RNAcentral.